Sciurus carolinensis (gray squirrel) is the source of this 1861-nucleotide long non-coding RNA. RefSeq lists it as uncharacterized. The record is from RefSeq and is a predicted model, not a curated record. NCBI's taxonomy places the organism in Eukaryota, Metazoa, Chordata, Mammalia, Rodentia, Sciuridae. The transcript has 3 exons.
ACUGGGUGAGGGCCAUCUGGCGUCCAGGGGCAGGCGUGGCGCUCUGGCCGUUCUCAGGACGCCCGAGGUCGGCCCCACUCUGAUCCUAGGAGAGGUCUGGAACGCACCGCGGCUGGGUUUCCUGCAAUGGCGCCUGGGAAGACGCGUGCUUGUCUGGGGCCCAGGAGUGCCGAGGAAGAAGGCCUGUCCCCAUGAUCUCGCACGGCCGGGCGGUUUGCAGCUCCCUGAGUUGUCCUGACACGGACGCAGCCACCAGGCCUGGCAGGCAGGACCUGGCUCGGGGACCAAGUGGGGCAAGGAGGGAGCCACAGGGCCCUGGCGGUGGGUGUCUGCUGAGGACACCUCCAAGCCAGUGGCAGCGCAGGUGACGUCAACCUCCACCUGAGAGCACCAGGCUCCAGAGCAGGCCGGCUCCUGCGCGGGACUCCCAGCCCACGGGACCUGGAAAUUGCGGAAACAGCAGCAGGCGCCACGCAUCCCCAGAUCGGCCCUGCAACCCGCCUCUCGGCGUGCCAGUCCUCGCUCCAUGCAGCUGCUUCUCAUGAACGUUGGAACACAGUUGUACCCCGCAUGCAUGAGGCCCCUGAGUUCAUCCCAGCACCGCAAAAAAGAAGGGGAGAGAAAAAAGACAGAGAAACUUUCAAGAUCACAACCCAAAUUGCCAAAAACUAAGCAUCCCAAAGUAGAGCUUACUCUGGGUCACUCAUUGCUCUUCUAUGGCCCUCAGUUUCCUCUUUUGCACCCUUGUGAUUUCUAGUUUGGUUACAAAAGAACUUUGGCCUGAAUUAUGUAGGUCAAACCAGUUUUAUUUAAAUUUUUUCCAUGCUUUCAUUGGUGCAUGAUAGUUGUACAAAGUGAUGGAAAUCGCUGUUAAAUAUUUGGACAUGCACAAAAUACAACCAUAUAGUCUGGCCUGUUUCCCUCCUAGCACCCCCUCCCCACUGGGCCGUCUCCUACUGAUCUCCCUUUGAUUCUCAUGAGAUCCCUACCCCACCUUUCUUUUCCUUUUCCCUCUCCAGCUUCCACAUAAGAAGACAAGAAAACAGGACCCCUGAUCUUUGGAGUUUGGCUUAUUUUGCUUAAUAUAAUGUUCUCUAGUUCCUGCAAAUCACAUAAUUUUGUUUUCCUUUGUGGACGACUAAAACUCCAUUGUGUAUAUACACAUUUUCUUUAUCCAUUUAUUCAUUGGUGAACACCUAGGUUGGUUCCACAUUUUGGCUAUUGUGAAUUGUGCUGCUUUAAACAUGGGUGUGCAUGUAUCACUGUGGUAUGACUUUGAUUCUUCAGGGUAGGUACCAAUCAGUGGUAUAGCUGGGCCAUGGUGGUUACACACCUGGUCUUUCCAGGAGCUUACAUGCUGAUUUCCACAGUGGUUGUACUAAUUUACAGUCACACCAACAGAGUACAGUGUCCCAGUGGAGUGCCACAUGCCAUGGUGCAAGCCUUUAAUCUCAGUGGCUCCGAGGCUGAGGCAAGAGGAUUGAGAGUUCAAAGCCAGCCUCAGAAACUUGGUGAGGCUCUAAGCAACUCGGCGAGACCCUGUCUCUAAAUAAAACACAAAAAAGGGCUGAGGUGUGGCUCAGUGGUCCAGUGCCCCAGUUCAAUCCUGGUGCCCCCCACCCAAAAAAAGAUGUCCCUUUUUCUCCACUCUCUCCAGGUACUCUCAAGCACUUAUUAUUGUUUCUUUCUUGUUGACUGCCAUUCUGACUGACAUGAUGUGACUCAGGGAAUCUCAGUGUGGUGGUGUUGUUGUUUUUGGCACUGGGGAUUGGACCCAGGAGCACUUGACUGAAGCCAGAAUUGGGGACAAGCAGUUAGUGUAGAAAUAGAGGAUCGGGUCAAAUCGAGGAAAUGGAGGCCA